Myzus persicae (green peach aphid) is the source of this 1793-nucleotide long non-coding RNA. RefSeq lists it as uncharacterized. The record is from RefSeq and is a predicted model, not a curated record. The transcript has 4 exons. NCBI's taxonomy places the organism in Eukaryota, Metazoa, Arthropoda, Insecta, Hemiptera, Aphididae.
CGUGGCACAGAUAUAAAUAUAUUAUAUAUUGUAUACAGAUAUGUAUAAUAUAUUUAUUUAUAUUGUUCUAUGAUACCUAUUUCUGUAAAUUUGCACACAAAAAUAUGUAUAAAGAUAACAAAUGAGAUUUUUUGGUGGUAUGAAAAUUAUAAAGAAAAGCGUUUAGUUUAUACCUACAAAGGUAUAUUUUUGAAAAUGGUUUAUAAAUGUAUUUUGUGUAGUAAUAAAAGUAAAACCACUGAAAACCCUCAAUCUCGAAUUAGCUUUCAUUCUUUCCCAACAAAUCCCGAUUUAAGGGGAAAAUGGAUUAAGAUAAGUGGAGUUGAAGACAUUUUAAUUAAACCUAUUAAAAUAUGUUCCGUGCAUUUCAAUGAAGAUUCAUAUUUACCAAUGUUUCCAAUAUCUAAAGGUUUAAAACAAACUGCUGUACCAUCAUUGUCUAUGAAUAAUAGGCGAUGAAAUGUUUUGAAUACAACUAUGCCAAAUAAUGCUGUAGUAUUAAAUUCACCGGAUUUUCUAAAUAAUAUACCUACUAAAAUAUCACGUGAUACAAGUCCAAUAAGUAAUUUGUCAACUUCUCCGUUCAAUACAAUAUUUCAACCGACUAUUGGAUCUGAAUCUUUGAGUAAUUGUGUACCGACAAAGAGAAAAAAAUUGUAUUCUCAUCCUCGGCACAUAGGCGAUUAUACUGAAGAACAUGUUAGUACACUUAAAGGACAAACGAAUAAUUUAAUAUACUUAAAAGGAAUAUAUUUAUUACAGACAAAAAAAUAAAAUGUUUACAGCAGCAAUAUAGGAACCUUGAAAAAAAAGUGGUGUCAUUAAAAUUACUACUAAAUAAAAGUAAAAAUAAAAGGUUAAUUUCUGAACAUGGUGCACAGAAAUUAAUUACGAAAUAUUAAUUUUUCAAUUUAGAAUUAUUCUUUUUAGUAGGUACCUAGUCAAAUUAGAAAUAUAUUUGAAAUUAAAAUAAUGGUUGGUUAAUGUCUAGGCUGGGUUAGAAAAAUUAAAAAGUUAGGCUACUUGUUUUUUUAAGUAAUUUCUAAUUUAACAAGUUCAAAGUUGUUCCAUGAUAUGUAGAACUUGAUAUGAAUUUAUAAGGAAAAUUAAAAUUUCACCUAAAUAGACGAAAGUCUCAGGAGGGGAUGAAGGUGUCAUAUUACGCUCAACUUUGUCUUUUUUUUCCUAAUGAUACAUACAAAUUUCCCUUGAACACAAUUAACUUGACUAUAUUAUGUGGAAAAAACAAAAUGGUGUACCCUAUAAACUUGUGUUGUCUUUUUCAAAACUGGUGGCAUUAAAAUUAUGACUUUACAAAAAUUAGUAUUUGGGAACUGUGGAAGAAAUCUUUAGAUGGAGUCAACAAAUAUUUUAUGAUAGGGCAAUGUACAGUGUACAAUUUCUCAAUUCAUAACUAGGUGCUCUAAAAAUACUCUACUUGUGAUUAUCUUAUAAUUUCUGUCUUUACUGCAGACCAAUUAUUUACCUUUUCUACAAAAAACAACCGUAUAUAUAAAGUUGAAAAACCCAGUGAGAGGUAAGUUUGUACACAAUACAAUGUAAAUAGAAUAAAAAUAUAAUGUAGGUAUAUAAUAAUUAUUAUGCCUAUUAUCAUGAUAGAAAUAACUAGUUAGGUUAACCUAACCUAACCUAACCUAACUAGUUAUUUCUAUCAUGCCUAUUAUAAUCCAAAUGGGUAUUUAAAAUUAUUGGGUACAUUAAUAAGUACAAUUUCUUCAAUAAGAAAGUUACAAAUUAAACCUAAAACAGAUAAACACUUAUGUCAAUAAUUG